CUGGCGAUCACAUCAAGAGAGAUAUCUUACCAUGCUAGGACAAUCACAACAUCUUCAUUGGGCUUAAAGUUGCUUCCCCAAAUUGCCUUAAUCUUUGACGAACCCAAGGCCUAGAAUUGGUAAAAUGCACCUCAAGAUCGACAUCAUUUGCGUCGAAAUAACCGGUCAUACAACGGAGAAAUGGUUCGUCCUUGAUUAUCCAUCGACCCAAAU
RNAcentral lists this long non-coding RNA (213 nucleotides) under Hordeum vulgare. RNAcentral's name for it is "long non-coding RNA (HVUL_LNC020632)". The record is from RNAcentral. Lineage: Eukaryota; Viridiplantae; Streptophyta; Magnoliopsida; Poales; Poaceae.